UUACUGUAGAUUCCGCAAAGCUACAAUAAGCUGUCAGGAACUCCAGCAGGCCAGGAAUCUCUCCCUAGAGGCACCAACCCAGCUUUUUGAUUUCCCCCUGUACACAUACAUGUCCAGCAUUCCUUUUAAUUUGGGAGACACUGGAUGCCAAGCAUUUUCAGUCUUCACUGAACUGUCUCUUUUUGAAAGACUGAACGCCAAGAAGCGUAAAUUUCAGAAAAAGUAUCAUUGUCCUAGAAAAUUGAGUCCUAUAAGAGAGGGGAGAAGUACAGGAGACUAGACAUUGGUGAAGCUCGCACUGAGGGGAAUGAGACAUUUCUAAGUGGAAUGAAAGGGAAAGAGAAUUGAAAAGGUCGCCACUGAAGACAUCUUACUUAUUUUAUUUCAUUCAUUUAAACUAUGCUUAACCCACCUUUCUCCUUAAAUGACCCAAGCCUGCUUACAUAAUU
Molecule: long non-coding RNA, 449 nt
Filed under: Pogona vitticeps (central bearded dragon)
Lineage: Eukaryota; Metazoa; Chordata; Lepidosauria; Squamata; Agamidae
Description: lncRNA (ENSPVIG00000002463.1)
Source: RNAcentral